RNAcentral lists this ribosomal RNA (458 nucleotides) under uncultured bacterium. RNAcentral's name for it is "partial 16S ribosomal RNA". It matches the Rfam family "Bacterial small subunit ribosomal RNA", at positions 28 to 523 of the family's 1533-position model. The record is from RNAcentral.
GAUGAACGCUGGCGGCGUGCCUAAUACAUGCAAGUCGAGCGGUAAGGCCACUUCGGUGGUACACGAGCGGCGGACGGCUGAGUAACACGUAGGAACGUACCCCAAACUGAGGGAUAAGCACCGGAAACGGUGUCUAAUACCGCAUGUGCUCUUCGGAGUAAAGCUACGGCGGUUUGGGAACGGCCUGCGCAUGAUUAGCUAGUUGGUGAGGUAAUGGCUCACCAAGGCGACGAUCAUUAGCUGGUCUGAGAGGAUGAUCAGCCAGACUGGGACUGAGAACGGCCCAGACUCCUACGGGAGGCAGCAGUAGGGAACUUUCCACAAUGGGGGCAACCCUGAUGGAGCAACGCCGCGUGCAGGAUGAAGGCUUUCGGGUCGUAAACUGCUUUUAUCUGUGAAGAUUAUGACGGUAGCAGAUGAAUAAGGAUCGGCUAACUCCGUGCCAGCAGCCGCGGUAA